CGUAGAGCAGCGCCAGCGGCACCGAGGCCGAGAGGCUCAUGGAGAUGGUGAGCGUCGCCGUCUGGAUGUAAACCUGCGCCGCCGCCGCCGGGCGGGCGUCUCGCACGAGGGUCUCGCACGAGGGGGGUCUCUUGCACGAGGGUCUCGCACGGGGGGGUCUCGCACGCGGGGGUGACUCGCACGAGGGUCUCAGCCUUGCACGAGGGUCUCGCAUGGGGGGGGUUUCACACGAGGGUCUCGCACGAGGGUCUCGCAUGAGGGUUACGGGCCUUGCACGAGGGUUUCACAUGGCCUCGCACGAGGGUCUCGCACAAGGGUCACGCACAAGGGUCUCAGCCUCGCACGAGGGUCUCACGGGGGUUUCACACGAGGGUCUCACACGGCCUCACACGAGGGUCACAGGCCUUGCACAAGGGUCUCGCACGAGGGUUUCGCAUGGCCUCGCACGGGGGUCUCAGCCUCGCACGAGGGUCUCGCACGAGGGUUAUGGGCCUUGCACGAGGGUUUCACAUGGCCUCGCACAAGGCCUUGCACGGGGGUCACAGGCCUCGCACGAGGGUCUCGCAUGGGGGUCUCACACGAGGGUUUCACACGAGGGUCUCGCACGAGGCCUCGCACGAGGGUUUCACAUGGCCUCGCACGAGGGUCUCGUACCAGGGUCUCACAUGGGGGUCUCAGCCUUGCACAAGGGUCUCGGUCUCGCACAAGCGUCUCACAUGAGGGUCUCACACAGCCUCGCACAAGGGUCACGGGCCUCGCACAAGGGGCCUCGCACGGGGGGGGGUCUCACACGAGGGUCUCGCACGAGGGUCUCGCACGAGGGUCUCGCACAGGGGUCUCACACGAGGGUUUCAUGCCUGGUCCUCACACGAGGGUCAAGGGCCUUGCACAGGGGCCUCGCACGGCCUCGCACGAGGGUCUCGCACGAGGGUCUCGCACGAGGGUCUCACCCAGAGGUUUCACACGAGGGUCUCGCACGAGGGUCACACGGGGCCUCGCACAAGGGUUUCACAUGGCUUCGCACGAGGGUCUCGCACGAGGGUCUCACACGAGGGAGUCACACGAGGGUCUCGCACGAGGGUCUCAC
Molecule: long non-coding RNA, 1087 nt
Filed under: Apteryx rowi (Okarito brown kiwi)
Lineage: Eukaryota; Metazoa; Chordata; Aves; Apterygiformes; Apterygidae
Description: lncRNA (ENSARWG00000011833.1)
Source: RNAcentral